AUUGAACGCUGGCGGCAGGCCUAACACAUGCAAGUCGAACGAGUGGCAGAGGGGUGAGUAAUGUCUGUGAAACUGCCCGAUGUUGGGGGAUAACUACUGGAAACGGUGGCUAAUACCGCAUACCAUCGGAUGUGCCCAGAUGGGAAUAGCUAGUAGGUGGGGUAACGGCUCACCUAGGCGACGAUCCCGAGCUGGUCUGAGAGGAUGAACAGCCAAACUGGAACUGAGACACGGUCCAGACUCCUACGGGAGGCAGCAGUGGGGAAUAUGGCACAAUGGGCGCAAGCCGGAUGCAGCCAUGCCGCGUGUAUGAAGAAGGCCUUCGGGUUGUAAAGUACUUUCAGCGAGGAGGCGUGACUCGCAGAAGAAGCACCGGCUAACUCCGUGCCAGCAGCCGCGGUAAUUC
Molecule: ribosomal RNA, 406 nt
Filed under: uncultured bacterium
Lineage: Bacteria
Description: partial 16S ribosomal RNA
Rfam family: Bacterial small subunit ribosomal RNA
Source: RNAcentral